This 376-nucleotide ribosomal RNA is filed under the name uncultured bacterium. RNAcentral's name for it is "bacterial SSU rRNA". It matches the Rfam family "Bacterial small subunit ribosomal RNA", at positions 521 to 896 of the family's 1533-position model. The record is from RNAcentral.
UAAGACGAACCGUCCUAACGUUGUUCGGAAUCACUGGGCUUAAAGGGCGCGUAGGCGGGCCAUCAAGUCCGGGGUGAAAUACUUCGGCUUAACCGGAGAAUUGCCUUGGAUACUGGUGGUCUAGAGGGAGGUAGGGGUCUGUGGAACUUCCGGUGGAGCGGUGAAAUGCGUUGAUAUCGGAAGGAACGCCGGUGGCGAAAGCGACGGACUGGACCUCUUCUGACGCUGAGGCGCGAAAGCCAGGGGAGCAAACGGGAUUAGAUACCCCGGUAGUCCUGGCCCUAAACGAUGGGUACUAGAUUGUGGACUAGACAUGGGUUCACAGUCGAAGCAAAAGUGAUAAGUACCCCGCCUGGGGAGUAUGGUCGCAAGGCUG